This is a small nucleolar RNA of Aotus nancymaae (Ma's night monkey), 144 nucleotides long. The record is from Ensembl. NCBI's taxonomy places the organism in Eukaryota, Metazoa, Chordata, Mammalia, Primates, Aotidae.
CAGCCUCAAAAGUUUCUUUUGUAGAUCCAUUACCAUCAAACUGUCAAAACUCAAAGAUAUUUAGAAAAAACUGGCAGUGGUAAAGCCAUGUUAUGAAAUGUAAGGACACUAAUGUCAUUAAGGUCCCUGAAAAUUAGUAUAAUA